GUCGAUAUCACGCAUGAGGAAUACAUUUUGGAACUGUUGAAGCAUGUGACUAGGCGUUAUUAUCAAAAUAAGUGAUGGCCUUUGGACAUAGUGGAAGGCUGGUAUGGCAAACUGAAGUCACAUUCAGACCUAAAGAAGUCAGAGCAUCUGAAUGACAUCAUCUGAAAGAGGGUGCGAAAAAGAAUGAACUUUACCAGUCUCCAUAAAAAGACAACAUGGUGUUAAAAUGUUAAUUGCUUUAUGAGCUAAUGUAUGAAUAACCUCAAGACAUUUGAUGAGCAUCAAAGAAAGAGGGGUUGAAACGGUCAUGGAAAGUCUUUGCCAUUUACCACAAUUGAGGUUGACAGAAUGAGAAUUGGCAAACAAUAAAGCGUGAU
Non-coding RNA from Pimephales promelas (fathead minnow), 377 nucleotides. The record is from RefSeq and is a predicted model, not a curated record. NCBI's taxonomy places the organism in Eukaryota, Metazoa, Chordata, Actinopteri, Cypriniformes, Leuciscidae.